GAUGAACGCUGGCGGCGUGCCUAAUACAUGCAAGUCGAGCGAACGGACGAGAAGCUUGCUUCUCUGAUGUUAGCGGCGGACGGGUGAGUAACACGUGGAUAACCUACCUAUAAGACUGGGAUAACUUCGGGAAACCGGAGCUAAUACCGGAUAAUAUUUUGAACCGCAUGGUUCAAAAGUGAAAGACGGUCUUGCUGUCACUUAUAGAUGGAUCCGCGCUGCAUUAGCUAGUUGGUAAGGUAACGGCUUACCAAGGCAACGAUGCAUAGCCGACCUGAGAGGGUGAUCGGCCACACUGGAACUGAGACACGGUCCAGACUCCUACGGGAGGCAGCAGUAGGGAAUCUUCCGCAAUGGGCGAAAGCCUGACGGAGCAACGCCGCGUGAGUGAUGAAGGUCUUCGGAUCGUAAAACUCUGUUAUUAGGGAAGAACAUAUGUGUAAGUAACUGUGCACAUCUUGACGGUACCUAAUCAGAAAGCCACGGCUAACUACGUGCCAGCAGCCGCGGUAAUACGUAGGUGGCAAGCGUUAUCCGGAAUUAUUGGGCGUAAAGCGCGCGUAGGCGGUUUUUUAAGUCUGAUGUGAAAGCCCACGGCUCAACCGUGGAGGGUCAUUGGAAACUGGAAAACUUGAGUGCAGAAGAGGAAAGUGGAAUUCCAUGUGUAGCGGUGAAAUGCGCAGAGAUAUGGAGGAACACCAGUGGCGAAGGCGACUUUCUGGUCUGUAACUGACGCUGAUGUGCGAAAGCGUGGGGAUCAAACAGGAUUAGAUACCCUGGUAGUCCACGCCGUAAACGAUGAGUGCUAAGUGUUAGGGGGUUUCCGCCCCUUAGUGCUGCAGCUAACGCAUUAAGCACUCCGCCUGGGGAGUACGACCGCAAGGUUGAAACUCAAAGGAAUUGACGGGGACCCGCACAAGCGGUGGAGCAUGUGGUUUAAUUCGAAGCAACGCGAAGAACCUUACCAAAUCUUGACAUCCUUUGACAACUCUAGAGAUAGAGCCUUCCCCUUCGGGGGACAAAGUGACAGGUGGUGCAUGGUUGUCGUCAGCUCGUGUCGUGAGAUGUUGGGUUAAGUCCCGCAACGAGCGCAACCCUUAAGCUUAGUUGCCAUCAUUAAGUUGGGCACUCUAAGUUGACUGCCGGUGACAAACCGGAGGAAGGUGGGGAUGACGUCAAAUCAUCAUGCCCCUUAUGAUUUGGGCUACACACGUGCUACAAUGGACAAUACAAAGGGCAGCGAAACCGCGAGGUCAAGCAAAUCCCAUAAAGUUGUUCUCAGUUCGGAUUGUAGUCUGCAGCUCGACUACAUGAAGUUGGAAUCGCUAGUAAUCGUAGAUCAGCAUGCUACGGUGAAUACGUUCCCGGGUCU
Molecule: ribosomal RNA, 1372 nt
Filed under: uncultured bacterium
Lineage: Bacteria
Description: bacterial SSU rRNA
Rfam family: Bacterial small subunit ribosomal RNA
Source: RNAcentral